RNAcentral lists this ribosomal RNA (740 nucleotides) under Vibrio sp. ACH-61. Its description in RNAcentral is "bacterial SSU rRNA". It matches the Rfam family "Bacterial small subunit ribosomal RNA", at positions 45 to 763 of the family's 1533-position model. Lineage: Bacteria; Pseudomonadati; Pseudomonadota; Gammaproteobacteria; Vibrionales; Vibrionaceae. The record is from RNAcentral.
GGCCUAACACAUGCAAGUCGAGCGGAAACGACACUAACAAUCCUUCGGGUGCGUUAAUGGGCGUCGAGCGGCGGACGGGUGAGUAAUGCCUAGGAAAUUGCCUUGAUGUGGGGGAUAACCAUUGGAAACGAUGGCUAAUACCGCAUAAUGCCUACGGGCCAAAGAGGGGGACCUUCGGGCCUCUCGCGUCAAGAUAUGCCUAGGUGGGAUUAGCUAGUUGGUGAGGUAAUGGCUCACCAAGGCGACGAUCCCUAGCUGGUCUGAGAGGAUGAUCAGCCACACUGGAACUGAGACACGGUCCAGACUCCUACGGGAGGCAGCAGUGGGGAAUAUUGCACAAUGGGCGAAAGCCUGAUGCAGCCAUGCCGCGUGUAUGAAGAAGGCCUUCGGGUUGUAAAGUACUUUCAGUUGUGAGGAAGGGGGUAGCGUUAAUAGCGCUAUCUCUUGACGUUAGCAACAGAAGAAGCACCGGCUAACUCCGUGCCAGCAGCCGCGGUAAUACGGAGGGUGCGAGCGUUAAUCGGAAUUACUGGGCGUAAAGCGCAUGCAGGUGGUUCAUUAAGUCAGAUGUGAAAGCCCGGGGCUCAACCUCGGAACUGCAUUUGAAACUGGUGAACUAGAGUACUGUAGAGGGGGGUAGAAUUUCAGGUGUAGCGGUGAAAUGCGUAGAGAUCUGAAGGAAUACCAGUGGCGAAGGCGGCCCCCUGGGACAGAUACUGACACUCAGAUGCGAAAGCGUG